UACAGAGGGUGCAAGCGUUAAUCGGAAUUACUGGGCGUAAAGCGUGCGUAGACGGUUAUGUAAGUCAGAUGUGAAAGCCCCGGGCUCAACCUGGGAAUUGCAUUUGAGACUGCAUAGCUAGGGUGCGGAAGAGGGAAGCGGAAUUUCCGGUGUAGCGGUGAAAUGCGUAGAGAUGUGGAGGAACACCGAUGGCGAAGGCAGCCCCCUGGGUUAACACUGACGCUCAGGCACGAAAGCGUGGGGAGCAAACAGG
RNAcentral lists this ribosomal RNA (253 nucleotides) under uncultured bacterium. RNAcentral's name for it is "partial 16S ribosomal RNA". It matches the Rfam family "Bacterial small subunit ribosomal RNA", at positions 524 to 776 of the family's 1533-position model. The record is from RNAcentral.